CAAUAGCGUAUAUUAAAGUUGUUGCGGUUAAAAAGCUCGUAGUUGGAUUUCUGUUGGGAACGACCGGUCCGCCCAUUGGGUGUGUAUCUGGCUUGUUCUCGGCAUCUUCUUGGUGAACGUUGCUGCACUUGACUGUGUGGAGCGCUACCCAGGACUUUUACUUUGAGGAAAUUAGAGUGUUUCAAGCAGGCAUAUGCCUUGAAUACAUUAGCAUGGAAUAAUAAGAUAGGACCUCGGUUCUAUUUUGUUGGUUUCUAGAGCUGAGGUAAUGAUUAAUAGGGAUAGUUGGGGGCAUUCGUAUUUAACUGCCAGAGGUGAAAUUCUUGGAUUUGUUAAAGACGGACUACUGCGAAAGCAUUUGCCAAGGAUGUUUUCAUUGA
This 380-nucleotide ribosomal RNA is filed under the name uncultured eukaryote. RNAcentral's name for it is "partial 18S ribosomal RNA". It matches the Rfam family "Eukaryotic small subunit ribosomal RNA", at positions 592 to 976 of the family's 1831-position model. The record is from RNAcentral.